UACGGAGGAUGCGAGCGUUAUCCGGAUUUAUUGGGUUUAGAGGGUGCGUAGGCGGGAUGCCAAGUCAGCGGUAAAAUGUCCGGGCUCAACCCGGGCCGGCCGUUGAAACUGGGGAUCUUGAGUGGGCGAGAAGUACGCGGAAUGCGCGGUGUAGCGGUGAAAUGCAUAGAUAUCGCGCAGAACUCCGAUUGCGAAGGCAGCGUACCGGCGCCAGACUGACGCUGAGGCACGAAAGCGUGGGGAUCGAACAGG
This 252-nucleotide ribosomal RNA is filed under the name uncultured Bacteroidales bacterium. RNAcentral describes it as "partial 16S ribosomal RNA". It matches the Rfam family "Bacterial small subunit ribosomal RNA", at positions 524 to 776 of the family's 1533-position model. The record is from RNAcentral. Lineage: Bacteria; Pseudomonadati; Bacteroidota; Bacteroidia; Bacteroidales.